Molecule: long non-coding RNA, 361 nt
Filed under: Elaeis guineensis (African oil palm)
Lineage: Eukaryota; Viridiplantae; Streptophyta; Magnoliopsida; Arecales; Arecaceae
Description: long non-coding RNA (EGUI_LNC020074)
Source: RNAcentral
UUUUUUUUUGAAUGAUUUUAGAUCUAAAUUAAUAUUUAUUUAUAUUAUAUAAUAUUUCUAUCACUCUAAAAUAAAAUAAAAAGUCUAAAAUAAUAUAUUAAAUAUAUUUAAAGUAAAAGUAUAAUGCACUAAUUUUAAGAUCUACUGAUCUAAUUUUUCAUCGAGUGUCGAUGAUGCUCAUAGAUAUCUGUAUUGUUCACAUAAUCAAGAAGAAUAUCAAUCCAUCUCUCUAAUCAAGUAAUAUUUUAAUCUUGAUUGCUCAUCUUAUAAGGCAUCCGUUCUACAUUGUAGGAUAACUCAGAUCUAUUACUCAAGCUCUGACUCUAAGAGAUAUCUUCAGAUUGACGAUACGACUAUGGAG